This 59-nucleotide non-coding RNA is filed under the name Paramoeba aestuarina. Lineage: Eukaryota; Discosea; Flabellinia; Dactylopodida; Paramoebidae. The record is from RNAcentral.
UUUCUUCUUCCUUCAAUUUUUUUUUUUUCUUCUUCUUUUUGUUUUUUUUUUCUAUUUGG